RNAcentral lists this ribosomal RNA (301 nucleotides) under uncultured bacterium. RNAcentral's name for it is "partial 16S ribosomal RNA". It matches the Rfam family "Bacterial small subunit ribosomal RNA", at positions 509 to 807 of the family's 1533-position model. The record is from RNAcentral.
CAGUAGCCACGGUAAUACGAAGGGGGCUAGCGUUGUUCGGAAUCACUGGGCGUAAAGCGCACGUAGGCGGACACUUAAGUCAGAGGUGAAAUCCCAAGGCUCAACCUUGGAACUGCCUUUGAUACUGGGUGUCUUGAGUUCGGGAGAGGUGAGUGGAACUGCGAGUGUAGAGGUGAAAUUCGUAGAUAUUCGCAAGAACACCAGUGGCGAAGGCGGCUCACUGGCCCGAUACUGACGCUGAGGUGCGAAAGCGUGGGGAGCAAACAGGAUUAGAUACCCCUGUAGUCCCUGUCUCUUAUAC